CCACAAGGGUAAGAAUUCUGUCCAUCUCUAUUAAUAUAUUCUCUGUCUUACACAAUGAUUGUCAUACUGUAGCACUCCAUAAAUGUGAACAUGCAGAGCUUUAAAACUGAAAAUACUUCAGAACAGGGGAAGAUCUAAUUUUGUAUAGCCUAAAGGUUGUACAAUUGGAGAGAUCUUCUUUUAAAACAACUCAGAACUUCAAAUUUAAAAAUUGAAUAAGAAAAUGUUUAUUUAGAAUGAAAAGAAAUCAUUAAAAAAGAUAACUUUAAAAAAUUUUACUAGUUUACAAAUCUUUUUUUAAAUGACAGUUCCACAAACAUAACAGAAUCAAGAAAAAUAACAUCACAUUUUUAUUUGCUAAGGAUUUUAAUGUUAUUGUUAAUCCUUUCAAAGAACCAUUUUUGUCAAUUUCUGUUUUUGAUUUCAUUUGUUCUUGCUCUUAUUUUUAUUAUUUCCUUUUCCACUUAUUUUGGGUUUACUUUUCUUUUUAUAGCUUCUUAACUUGGAAACUUAGGUUACCAUUUUUAUAUUUUUUCUAAUAUAUGCAUUUAGAAUUAUAACUUUUCUCCUAAACAGUCUUUAGCUGUAUCCCAUAAAAUUUGAUAUGUAGUAUAUUUUCUAUGUUCAGUAUGAAAUAUUGAGUGCUUUCUUCCACUACAGUCUUCUGCCAUGAUGUUUUUCCUCACCUAGAACCCAGAGCAAUGGAUCUGGCUAUCUAUGACUGAAACCUCUGAAAUUGUUGCUAAGUGGCCCAAGCUGACCUCCAUCAUGCAAAAGAUGUUUUAAGGAAAGGUUGAUACAGAUUUUCUGAAGAAAGAAAAAGGUCUCUUCUCAAUAUGGCUUUGGAAAGUACUCAGAUGGAAGUGAGGUUCAAAAAUGAGCCUGAGUCCUAAGACAUCAACUCAAACUCUCCUGCAGCUCACAAAAGUAAUCCCAGUUUUCCCAAGUUGCCUCUUGCCUCAUCACUGAUACUUGUCUUCCUUAAGGCAAACUCGUUAUCUGUUACUUUUAUCAUUCUAUUUAAAAAGUAUUCUCAGCUUCUUGAAGAAGUAUCAAAAAUUAUAUAAAAGAACUAGUCCACACAGAAUUGGAAUGUGCAAGACAAUAUUCAGCCAUGAAAGAAUUGGAAGACUGAAGAAUUGGAAGUCAUUUAGUUCCCACUGCUACUUUAUUCCUACUAACUCAAAAUCUUGAAAUAAAGAGAAUUGAUUUAGGAGAACUUCACCUAAAGGAGAACUUCUCUAGAAUGGAGACUCAUCUGGUGGUGAUCAACAACAAAGAGGAGUAGGAUUUCACCAUCCAGAAUCUGUAAAUAGAUGCUGUUUACCAUGUGGGGCUGUCAGAUACAGAGAGUCAGAGACAUUGAAAGUGGAUUGUUCAGACACCAUACAACUCAAGUGCCACAUUCUGGCAUUAAGUUCAAUUGUGAGAUGAUGGAAAUCUAGUUGUGAAUCAAACAUUCUCCAUGGUCAUAUGGUUAAAUUGGCAUCCAUUGUUAUAGAGAUAGCUAAUAAGUUCCUCUUUAUGUGUAAGAGAUUCCAUAGAAUUUUAGGUAGGUGGUCAACUACUCCACUUGUGAGAAAAUUUUCCACAUAUUUACUUGUUUAUUAAUUUAUUUGCCCAUUCAUAAAAUAAGCUCUUACUUAAAAUUUUGAAAGUGCCAGAAACUAUAUAGGAAACCCCUUUUUUGUGAACACAUGGAAGACACAUGAACCUCUCUGCAAAUUUCUUUCUGAUUGUUAAGGAUUUAUUUACUGAUAUAUGAUGUAGUUCCUUUACCUGUUUUCUCUUCCUCUCUUU
This 1800-nucleotide long non-coding RNA is filed under the name Marmota monax (woodchuck). Lineage: Eukaryota; Metazoa; Chordata; Mammalia; Rodentia; Sciuridae. The record is from RNAcentral.